UACAGAGGUCCCAAGCGUUGUUCGGAUUCAUUGGGCGUAAAGGGUGCGUAGGCGGUCUGACAAGUCUGAUGUGAAAUCUAUGGGCUCAACCCAUAGUCUGCAUCGGAAACUGUCGGGCUGGAGUAUGGGAGAGGUGAGUGGAAUUUCCGGUGUAGCGGUGAAAUGCGUAGAUAUCGGAAGGAACACCUGUGGCGAAAGCGGCUCACUGGACCAUUACUGACGCUGAUGCACGAAAGCUAGGGGAGCAAACAGG
RNAcentral lists this ribosomal RNA (253 nucleotides) under uncultured bacterium. RNAcentral's name for it is "partial 16S ribosomal RNA". It matches the Rfam family "Bacterial small subunit ribosomal RNA", at positions 524 to 776 of the family's 1533-position model. The record is from RNAcentral.